This 511-nucleotide ribosomal RNA is filed under the name uncultured Glomus. RNAcentral describes it as "SSU rRNA". It matches the Rfam family "Eukaryotic small subunit ribosomal RNA", at positions 569 to 1084 of the family's 1831-position model. Lineage: Eukaryota; Fungi; Glomeromycota; Glomeromycetes; Glomerales; Glomeraceae. The record is from RNAcentral.
AGCAGCCGCGGUAAUUCCAGCUCCAAUAGCGUAUAUUAAAGUUGCUGCAGUUAAAAAGCUCGUAGUUGAAUUUCGGGACUAAUAUGUUGGUCGUGCCUCGGUACGUACUGAUAUUUUUGGUUUCUCCCUUCUGACGAACCUUGAUGUCAUUAAUUUGGUGUCUUGGGAAAUCAGGACUGUUACUUUGAAAAAUUAGAGUGUUUAAAGCAGGCUCACGCUUGAAUACAUUAGCAUGGAAUAGUGAAAUAGGACGUUUGAUUCUAUUUUGUUGGUUCCUAGGAUCGACGUAAUGAUUAAUAGGGAUAGUUGGGGGCAUUAGUAUUCAAUUGUCAGAGGUGAAAUUCUUGGAUUUAUUGAAGACUAACUACUGCGAAAGCAUUUGCCAAGGAUGUUUUCAUUAAUCAAGACGAAAGUUAGGGGAUCGAAGACGAUCAGAUACCGUCGUAGUCUUAACCAUAAACUAUGCCGACUAGGGAUCGGAUGAUGUUAAUUUUUAAUGUACUCAUUCGGC